GGAUCUGCAGAUCAGCAUCACCUGGGAAUCUGCCAGCCCCUGCUAAGUCAGAAAAACUGCGAGUAAGGCUCAGCAACCUGCAGUCUCAUGAGCCCUCCAAUUGAUUCUGAUGCACAUUCAAGUUUGAGAAGCAACAGCCGUGCUGCUGAGGUGGUUGCCGGCCUGCUGCCUCCCACAGAGCCCGCAAGGCAGGAACGUGACACACCCAUCUCAGCAGCCUCACCAGCAUGGCAACCUGGCACUUAACAACAGGCAGAAGCCACCUGGGAUGGAAGAAGGAGAACCCCAGACUCCCCUGAAAGAAGGCAGAGGCCAGUCCUCUGAGGGAUGGGGCAGCCAUCCCUCAGAAUGUGAAAGGAGAGCCAGUGUUCACAUGCUCUGGACUCAUGGAAGUCAAAGAAAAGCCCUCUGCUAUCCCAAUCUGCCGGGUCAGCAAUAAGAAAUAGAAGAAAACCGAUUUGGCAACAUCCAGAGGGUAUUAAAUAUUCAUCCUGACUGCCCAUCAGUAAAAUCCCAGCAGAAUACACCCUCUGACAAGUCGGCUUUCCACCACUAGAGGCUGUCCUCAUGGAAGCUUGUUUAUGGCUUUGUCAAUUUUAAUGUACAAUAUUUAAUAGCCAAACCAAGAUAUUGUCAUAAACAUUUGGAAAAUGA
Molecule: long non-coding RNA, 654 nt
Organism: Homo sapiens (human)
Lineage: Eukaryota; Metazoa; Chordata; Mammalia; Primates; Hominidae
Exons: 3
Source: RefSeq, a predicted model, not a curated record